GGAUUCAACUUUUAACAGAUGUAACUUAUAAUUCAGAUUAAGGAACAGACGUUUUCGGGACACAGUGAUAGUGUUGACCAGUUAUGUUGGCAUGAAACCAAUCCUGAUUUGCUCAGCACUGCCAGUGGUGACAAAGCAAUGAAAGUUUAGGAUGCAAGAAUAAAGAAAAACAUUGCAACAGUUAACACCAAGGGAGAAAAUAUCAACAUUACCUCGUCACCUGGUGGUAAUUCGAUCGCUGUAGGAAAUAAAGACGAUCUAAUCACAUUUAUUGAUGCCAGAACUUUCAAAAUAAGAAUGGAGAAUCUGUUCAAAUUUGAAGUCAAUGAAAUAGAACGAAGCAAGGCCAGCAAUCUGUUUUUCUUAAAGAGUGGGCAAGGCUGCAUCCAGAUAUGAGAAGUUGACGACAGUCCACGUAACACAGGCUUACCCUGCCAAACUUGGAUUUGCAUCGAAUUUGACCCGAUUGGACGGUAUUUCGCCACUGGGUCUGCUGACACCCUGGUUUCGCUGUGGGAUGCCGAUGAAAUCGCUUGUUUGCGCACUUCCUCGAGGUUGGAUUAGCCAGUCUGCACCCUGAUUUUCAGCCACAAUGGAUCUAUGCUAGCGUCUGGGUCAGAAGACCUUUUGAUCGAUGUCAGCCAUGUAGGCAUUGAUGAACGUGUAAUAGCCAUCCAGUGGACAGGCCUGCUUUCACGGCCGCCUGGUACACACGCUCUCAUCUACUUGCCUACGCUUGCGAAAGAUAAAGAUGACGGAAAUCGAGAUCCUGGAACAGUGAAGCUCUUUGGUCUCUCUAACGAGUAUGGCCCAGUGGAAUCGGUGGCUAAGCUUCACGCGUUUUAUGUAUCGUUUAUUUGUCCUUACAGAUUGAUCUUACUCGUAUCAUGAAUUCAUUUGU
This is a long non-coding RNA of Daphnia carinata, 901 nucleotides long. RefSeq lists it as uncharacterized. The record is from RefSeq and is a predicted model, not a curated record. Lineage: Eukaryota; Metazoa; Arthropoda; Branchiopoda; Diplostraca; Daphniidae. The transcript has 4 exons.